ACAGUCACACAUUAGAUACCCGCGUAGUCCCAGCUGUAAACGAUGCGCGUUAGGUGUGUCAGUGACCACGUGUCACUGAGGUGCCGAAGGGAAACCGUGAAACGCGCCGCCUGGGGAGUACGGUCGCAAGGCUGAAACUUAAGGGAAUUGGCGGGGGAGCACCACAACGGGUGGAGCCUGCGGUUUAAUCGGACUCAACGCCGGAAAUCUCACCGGAUAAGACAGCUGAAUGAUAGUCGGGAUGAAGACUCUACUUGACUAGCUG
RNAcentral lists this ribosomal RNA (265 nucleotides) under uncultured archaeon. RNAcentral's name for it is "partial 16S ribosomal RNA". It matches the Rfam family "Archaeal small subunit ribosomal RNA", at positions 719 to 982 of the family's 1478-position model. The record is from RNAcentral.